AGAGUUUGAUCCUGGCUCAGGACGAACGCUGGCGGCGUGCCUAACACAUGCAAGUCGAGCGAUGAAAUCCCUUCGGGGAUGGAUUAGCGGCGGACGGGUGAGUAACAMGUGGGUAACCUGCCUCAAAGAGGGGGAUAGCCUCCCGAAAGGGAGAUUAAUACCGCMUAACWUUAGUUUUUCGCMUGAAGAACUAAUUAAAGGAGUAAUCCSCUUUGAGAUGGACCCGCGGCSCMUUASCUAKUUGGUGAGGUAAAGGCUCACCAAGGCGACGAUGCKUAGCCGACCUGAGAGGGUGAUCGGCCACAUUGGAACUGAGACACGGUCCAGACUCCUWCGGGAGGCAGCAGUGGGGAAUAUUGCACAAUGGGCGAAASCCUGAUGCAGCAACGCCGCGUGAGUGAUGAAGGCCUUCSGGUUGUAAAGCUCUGUCUUUGGGGACGAUAAUGACGGUACCCAAGGAGGAAGCCACGGCUAACUACGUGCCMGCAGCCGCGGUAAUUC
RNAcentral lists this ribosomal RNA (501 nucleotides) under uncultured Clostridium sp. RNAcentral describes it as "partial 16S ribosomal RNA". It matches the Rfam family "Bacterial small subunit ribosomal RNA", at positions 8 to 526 of the family's 1533-position model. The record is from RNAcentral. Lineage: Bacteria; Bacillati; Bacillota; Clostridia; Eubacteriales; Clostridiaceae.